Molecule: non-coding RNA, 1062 nt
Organism: Peromyscus maniculatus bairdii (prairie deer mouse)
Lineage: Eukaryota; Metazoa; Chordata; Mammalia; Rodentia; Cricetidae
Source: RefSeq, a predicted model, not a curated record
CUUGCGUGGGUGUGUUUUGGGUCUGCAUAUGCUGACCUUCCCCCUCUGUUUUGCUGUUUUGUUUUGAGACAGGGUUGCAUAUAACCCAGGCUGUUCUCCAACUGACUAAUGUAGCCAAAGAUGGUUCCGAUCCUCCGGCCUCUACUUCUUAAGCCGUGGGUCGACAGAGAUCUGCCCCCCUCCCCUGCGUGUGCUCCGCUUCUCCCCAGCUGUGAGCUACGCUGCUGUCUCCACGCCACAUCAGCACAGACUGGUGAAAAUUGUAGUGUCCGACAAGAAGAUGUGGGAAAUGGGCUUUCUUGCUCUAACUGAUGUCACCUGGGAAGUAUUUCAGAUUCAUGUGAUUCGAAUUGACACCAUCUUGCAGAAACAUAUCAUCUAGCGAAGAGAUGCCACGGGUGCUUGUCGUCUGCUUGUUCAUGGUGAUAAGUUACUGAAUUUGAUCAGGAGAUGCCCAUCAGAAGGCAAACAGAGUGGUGCAGUUGCUAAACAAACCCUGCCAAGGCUAAGGAUGCUGAGCAUGUGUGCUGCUGCGUCCUGACUGCAGAGCACCGCUGGAAGCAGGCUGUGCGGGGCUGUGGUUAAGUCGACUUCAGAGCACCCUGACCUCUCUGCAGCACUUCACAAGACGGUGGGUCUGGGGGUUCGGAUGUGGGAGAGGGAUCCUCAUGGCAGUGCAAAAACAAGACUGGCGUGCUCGACACAGGCACACUGGUGCCCACCUCCACUCGACACAGGCACACUGGUACCCACCUCCGCUCGACACAGGCACACUGGUGCCCACCUCCCUUCCACACUAGAAGACAGUUUGGGUAUUGUCUCCUCUGCACUGAAACUGUAGCUCUGGGUGGGCUGGAAUUUGUGCCUAGCACAAAGCCAGGUUCAUAUAAGCCACCUAAUUAAAUCCAUUGAAUGAAUGAAUGAGUGAAUGAAUGCCCAUAUAACUCAAAGUGGAACUAAAAUGGAGAAACACACCCACAGAGAGCUGAACAGAGCCCUGCCCUCUGAGCAUCACUUUCUCUCCUCAUCUCCCCUCUCCCUUCCACAGGCUCCACCUGACAA